This 253-nucleotide ribosomal RNA is filed under the name uncultured bacterium. RNAcentral describes it as "partial 16S ribosomal RNA". It matches the Rfam family "Bacterial small subunit ribosomal RNA", at positions 524 to 776 of the family's 1533-position model. The record is from RNAcentral.
UACGUAGGUGGCAAGCGUUAUCCGGAUUUAUUGGGCGUAAAGGGAACGCAGGCGGUCUUUUAAGUCUGAUGUGAAAGCCUUCGGCUUAACCGGAGUAGUGCAUUGGAAACUGGGAGACUUGAGUGCAGAAGAGGAGAGUGGAACUCCAUGUGUAGCGGUGAAAUGCGUAGAUAAAUGGAAGAACACCAGUGGCGAAAGCGGCUCUCUGGUCUGUAACUGACGCUGAGGUUCGAAAGCGUGGGUAGCAAACAGG